RNAcentral lists this ribosomal RNA (419 nucleotides) under uncultured bacterium. RNAcentral describes it as "bacterial SSU rRNA". It matches the Rfam family "Bacterial small subunit ribosomal RNA", at positions 351 to 782 of the family's 1533-position model. The record is from RNAcentral.
GCAGUGGGGAAUAUUGCACAAUGGGCGAAAGCCUGAUGCAGCGACGCCGCGUGAGGGAUGAAGGCCUUCGGGUUGUAAACCUCUUUCAGUAGGGAAGAAGCGAAAGUGACGGUACCUGCAGAAGAAGCGCCGGCUAACUACGUGCCAGCAGCCGCGGUAAUACGUAGGGCGCAAGCGUUGUCCGGAAUUAUUGGGCGUAAAGAGCUCGUAGGCGGUUUGUCGCGUCUGGUGUGAAAACUCAAGGCUCAACCUUGAGCUUGCAUCGGGUACGGGCAGACUAGAGUGUGGUAGGGGUGACUGGAAUUCCUGGUGUAGCGGUGGAAUGCGCAGAUAUCAGGAGGAACACCGAUGGCGAAGGCAGGUCACUGGGCCACUACUGACGCUGAGGAGCGAAAGCAUGGGGAGCGAACAGGAUUAGA